This is a long non-coding RNA of Engraulis encrasicolus (European anchovy), 563 nucleotides long. RefSeq lists it as uncharacterized. The transcript is spliced from 3 exons. NCBI's taxonomy places the organism in Eukaryota, Metazoa, Chordata, Actinopteri, Clupeiformes, Engraulidae. The record is from RefSeq and is a predicted model, not a curated record.
CUACAGUCCACCCCCUCUGCUUAUCCUGGUUGCUCCUGGACUAUCAGAUACUUGGAGAUUAACUUCCGUUGCGUACAAAGUGUCAGAAUUGGAAAGUAGGAAACAGGGGCGAAGCCAAAAGCACAUGUACCGGUAUCAGGAUGAGGCAUGAAUUGAUUGGUGGUUAUGGCGACUACAGCACUCCCUGUGGAUUGCUUGUUCAUACAAGUACAAAUCAACUUCAAGUUAUCUAGUUAUUGUUUUGCUGGAGCAAUGUAGGGUCAGGUGUCUUGUUGAUUUAGGGAGAGCGUGCAACAUCCAAAACGAUGCUUUACAUAGUGUCACACAGUGAAGAAGAGGAAGGCCACUGCCAAUUGUGCUCCAAAAAAAUAAUUUAUUUAAACAUACAUUUCAGGUGACCGAACCCAAGUGAUUAUUUUAAUUGUCCCUAAACAACGUUCAUUUUUGGAGGCGUGGUUCAGCUUUGGAGGAGAUAUUUUUAUUUUAAUUGUAUUACCUGUUUCAUUUUCUUUCAAACAUGUUUUCAUUUCUUGACAUGAAUGAAAAAAACAAAAAAAACAAUG